UUCUUGUAAAUUGCUUUUGUUGUAUAUUUUUUCUUCAUGUAAAUUGAGGGAAAAACAUUAUUAAAGUCUGGUUUCAAUGUAUAUGACAAAUUAUGUAAGAAUCUAAAAUGGUAUCAAAAAUUAUGGCAGCAGUACUUUAUUAUUUGUGAUUUUUUUCUAAACUCUGACCUAGUGGUGCAAAACCUCGGUUCUGUAGUAUAAUUCCUUUCACUUCUGCUUCGUCCUAAGUAAGCAUUUGAAACAAUGGUUAAAUAUUAAUGAUACAAACUUUUUAGUCUAUGUGAUAAGUUCAAAAGUAUUUAAUGAUCACUUUUAAUUAAGAAUAAAGUAUAAAGAAGCAUUUUGCUGGGAUGAAUUCCAAAAAUAGGUAAUUUGAGAGAGCAAAUGGUUGCACAUUUUAAAUUGUAACUUCCCUCGAAAAUGGUGGAAAUAAGAAAAAAGAUAAACAUCUAAAAAAUUCAUUAUCAAGAGGCAGUCAUUUUGCUAUAUUUAGAAUAUUAUGUUACAUUAUUUAAUGAUCUAAUUAAAUAUUUUGUUGUAGGGGAAAUUUGCUGUAUUCAAACUACAAAUUUAGCUAAUUAAUAAUUUAAAGAAAAAAAAACUUGUGUAUUAUUGCAAACAUUUUUGUUCAACAAUACCACUGAGCAAAUAUUUUAGAUAUAGUGGACCCGUUGAUGGUCCAACUGUUUUAUAUAGAAGAAUGACUAAGUUUAAUAGUUUUAUUGUUGUUUUUAGAAUUAUAUACCUGAGCUAACAAGAGAAGACAUCCUCCAGGCACUCAGAGGAAAAAGAAAUGUUAUUUUUGGAAAUAUUGAAAAAAUCUAUGAAUUUCACAAUCAGUAUUUUUUGGUAGAGUUAGAACACUGCGAAAAUUCACCUUUCACUGUGGGACAAUGCUUUUUAGAUUUUCAAAAUGAAUUUUAUAUGCCUUAUACAACAAGAAUAAACCUAAGUCAGAUGCAUUGAUGUCAGAGUAUGGAAAUACAUUUUUUAGA
Non-coding RNA from Parasteatoda tepidariorum (common house spider), 995 nucleotides. The record is from RefSeq and is a predicted model, not a curated record. NCBI's taxonomy places the organism in Eukaryota, Metazoa, Arthropoda, Arachnida, Araneae, Theridiidae.